This is a long non-coding RNA of Cannabis sativa, 1311 nucleotides long. RefSeq lists it as uncharacterized. The transcript has 3 exons. The record is from RefSeq and is a predicted model, not a curated record. NCBI's taxonomy places the organism in Eukaryota, Viridiplantae, Streptophyta, Magnoliopsida, Rosales, Cannabaceae.
AAAAAAAAGACCCUAUUUAAAGAGUUUCCUACCAAGACAAGAAAACAAAAAUUUUCAAAACAUCAAGCUUCUCUUUUCUUUUCCUUCUGCUGAAACCUAGAAGCAGCUGGGAACCAAGUGAAUUUCAUCUUAUUUCAACCAUUCUUGAGGUAAUCUUAGCCUUAGAAGCUAGCUAAGUGGAGGUAAAGGGAAGGCAAAAGUUGAGCAACCAUGAGUUUGUGGUCCCAACAGCAAUGUACAUACCAGCCGCAGUAGCACGGCCCAGUAAACAGGAUGCUCUAUUUUGAUUGUAUUUUGGAAAUAUAAAGUUUAUGUUGUAAAAUACUUUGAAACCAGUUUGUAAAUAUUUUGAAAACAGGGGGACCCCGUAGUCUAUAACACUUAUCUUUUGUUAAACAGUUUUAAAAGUUGAAUUUUAAUUAUCAAAAUUUAAUUACCCACACUUUUCAGUAUAAUUACAUAUUAUAUAAAUCGGAGUAUUUUAUUUAAUUGCACACACGUUGCGUCCCUGUUGGACAGGGCGUUACACUCGAUCUCAACACCAACUACAAGUCCAGGUUUGGGUCCGGGGUCCAGGGUCCAGGGUCCGGGUCUGGGUCCCGAGUCUCGGGUCUCGUAUCCCGAGUCCCGGGCCCCGAGUCCUGAGUCCCGAGUCCCGGGUCUCGAGUCCCGAGUCCGGGGUCCCUAGUCCCAGUCCGGGUCUCAGGUCCGAGUCCAGGGUUGGGGUCCCAGGUCCAGGUCCGGGUUUGGGUCUGGGUCCGGGUCCGGGUCCGAGUUCGGGUCUAGGUUCGGGUCUGGGUCAGAGAUUGGUGUUGACCCCAAAUCUUUUGUAAACAUUAUAGGGCUUGUUUGGAUCCCUUUAUAUGGGCUUCGUAUUGUAUUAAAUUGUAGGACUACCAUGUUUGGAUGGGACAUUGUAUUGUACUAGAUAUUACAUUCCUUAAUUUUAAUACAAUUUAUCCAGUAUUAUUAUAUACUGAAUAAAAAGAGUGUAUAAGGUUGUAUUGUAUUAUUUUGGAGGGUGUGGCUGUAUUAGCCAAUACUCUCCCUCUCACCCAAACUUUUUCGUGUUUCCCGUUCAGCCAUCUUCACUGAUUUUCAAUCAUCUUCUCCGGUCGAUUUGGCCUGGAUUUCUCGGUGAAGAGCAACUUCGUGUUCUUCGACAGAUCGAUCUAUUAGAUUCAUUUCUCGGUCAAGAACAACUUCAUCUUCUCUGGCAGAUCAAUCUCUCAAAUUCACUAUCCUCUGUCGACAUCGAUCUCUUAGAUUCGUCUAUGGAACCUAUCAUCUCCUUAGCUCUCUUUCUCUCUC